RNAcentral lists this ribosomal RNA (440 nucleotides) under uncultured bacterium. Its description in RNAcentral is "partial 16S ribosomal RNA". It matches the Rfam family "Bacterial small subunit ribosomal RNA", at positions 338 to 795 of the family's 1533-position model. The record is from RNAcentral.
CCUACGGGAGGCAGCAGUGGGGAAUAUUGCACAAUGGGGGGAACCUUGAUGCAGCAACGCCGCGUGGGUGAAGAAGUACUCCGGUAUGUAAAGCCCUGUCAGCAGGGAAGAAAAUGACGGUACCUGACCAAGAAGCCCCGGCUAACUACGUGCCAGCAGCCGCGGUCAUACGUAGGGGGCAAGCGUUAUCCGGAUUUACUGGGUGUAAGGGGAGCGUAGACGGGAAGGCAAGUCUGGAGUGAAAGCCCGUGGCCCAACCACGGGACUGCUUUGGAAACUGUGUUGCUGGAGUGCAGGAGGGGUAAGCGGAAUUCCUAGUGUAGCGGUGAAAUGCGUAGAUAUUAGGAAGAACACCGGUGGCGAAGGCGGCUUACUGGACUGUAACUGACGUUGAGGCUCGAAGGCGUGGGGAGCAAACAGGAUUAGAUACCCUGGUAGUC